Non-coding RNA from Durio zibethinus, 971 nucleotides. The record is from RefSeq and is a predicted model, not a curated record. NCBI's taxonomy places the organism in Eukaryota, Viridiplantae, Streptophyta, Magnoliopsida, Malvales, Malvaceae.
CUAGUUGCAACUACUUAUGUUUCAGAAGUGGAAAAAAGAAAAAACAUAACAUAACAUAGCAUAACAAGAAGUUGGGCAUGGAAGCCUCAAAAAAGGCGGAGCAGCAAUUCAUAAUCGAAUUAAGGGAACGGAUCUUCUUCUACCAAGCGUUUCAAAACUGCCACUAUCACUAUCUCCCCUUCUCUACAAAUCAACAGAUCUUUCUUUCUCCUUUCAGCUCCUUUCAUUGAUUUUCCCUUUCUCUUUUUCUUUUUUUUUUUUUUUUUCCCUUUCCUAAGUUGUUCUUUUGUUUUGUUUUUAUUUGGUUGAAGCAGAUCAGCUAAUUGAUUCCUCGAUGCAUUUGUCCCCGAGGUUUCCCAGGCAGUGUGACUGCAUAUUAUGUCCCUUUUCAAGUAUGGGACUCUUUGCAGGAAUGUUGAUGGAUCUUCUUUCUCCUUUGUUUCCUUCAGCUUUUAUUUUCAUUGUUUGCUUAGGGAGUUUGUCAAGAUCAUUCACUGGUGUUGCUAGUGGAGCUACCAGAGCUGCCUUGACACAACAUUUUGCCCUCCAAAAUAUACAGCAGAUAUAUCUGCCAAGCCAAGAGACAAUGGCAACAAUGAUUGGCAUGGCAUUGGGAAUGCUUCUUGCUCGCAUUACUACAGAAAACCCACUAGCUAUUUGGUUUUCUUUUCUCUCCCUGACAAUGUUCCAUAUGUAUGCAAAUUACAAAGCUAUCCAGGGCCUUGCUUUAGAUUCACUGAACUUUGAGAGGAGCUCAAUUCUUCUACAACAUUUCAUAUAAAAUGGCCAAGUUCUCUCUCCUAAACAGGUCUCAACCAUGGAGCAUGUUUUGCCUUUAUGGGCCACUUUAAGGUUGUCAAAGAGUGCUAAGCUCCUGCACACAAAUGUAAAAUUAGGGUUAAGGGUUUCCUCUCUUGAUCACAUAGAAAUGGCCAACCUUCUGAAUUCAGCUGGAUCAUUUUACAAGAAAG